UAAGCCUACACUAAGACUUUUG
Molecule: microRNA, 22 nt
Filed under: Monodelphis domestica (gray short-tailed opossum)
Lineage: Eukaryota; Metazoa; Chordata; Mammalia; Didelphimorphia; Didelphidae
Description: mdo-miR-7262h-3p
Source: miRBase by way of RNAcentral